GUCCCUCUAGCGCAACGGAUAGCGCGUUGGACUUCUAAUCCAAAGGUCGUGGGUUUGAAUCCCACCUGGGAUG
This 73-nucleotide transfer RNA is filed under the name Trichonephila inaurata madagascariensis. It matches the Rfam family "tRNA". From Rfam's summary of the family: Transfer RNA (tRNA) molecules are approximately 80 nucleotides in length. The record is from Rfam by way of RNAcentral. Lineage: Eukaryota; Metazoa; Arthropoda; Arachnida; Araneae; Nephilidae.